This is a long non-coding RNA of Bombus pascuorum, 883 nucleotides long. RefSeq lists it as uncharacterized. NCBI's taxonomy places the organism in Eukaryota, Metazoa, Arthropoda, Insecta, Hymenoptera, Apidae. The record is from RefSeq and is a predicted model, not a curated record. The transcript is spliced from 2 exons.
GUGCCAAGGCGACCACGAAAAUCAAAGUGUAAGGCGACGUACCGGAGGCAUGGAGUCGCCGCUUAUCCAGCAUACUAACGAGUCCCUUACAUCAUACACGUCUAAGUCCGGCUGAAAAAGACAAACACUUGUAUAAUACGGGAAAAAUUCGUUAACUCCUGAAGUGGACGGUUCAAGCUGCAUAUAAGUUGAGGAGUGUAUACAACAGUGAUUUUGUUUGUGAAGAACAUGUGCGUCACAAUUCACUGCUAUAAUCUGCGAUAUUGUAUUUCAUCUUGUUCAUAUAUGAGGUGGUGUUAUUUGUAGUAGUCGGUAUACCUAGUUGUGCUGAUAGUGUGCUACUGCUACUAGUGUGUAGGGAUGAGACAGGUUCUGCUGCGUGGGGUAGAUGUCGCUGCUGGGGUACUGCUGUAUUUUCUUCUCAUUUUUGAUGCCGCGGAAGAAAAAUCGGACUCCGGUCGCCGGAAUUUAAACCCGGGUCCCGAACGUUCGUAACCUAAGGCGCUAACCACUGCGCUGCCGCCAUCCGACACUUCUGAAUACUGGUGGUAUUUUACUGUCGAGUGCCACCACAUAUACUUUUAACAGUCGAUAAUUUGUUGAAUGUUACAAUACAAGUAGCGAUAAUACAAAAUUAUUAUUAUUUAACUUUUCAGAGGUUUAUAAAUUAAAUAUCAAUACCUAAAUAUCAAUUCAACAAGAAUCAACGUUGAAACGCGUACACAUUUGAGUUGGUAUGCGUCCAGCUGGAUGAAAGACAGCCAAUUAUCGAUAUUUUAGGUAUACCUUGAACUAACGUCGAACUUAGAUCGUUAAUAACAUUCACUGAUAAAUGGCAAAAGAGUUUGUGGCCAGUUGAACACUUGAAGGAGACGAAACUAUA